RNAcentral lists this ribosomal RNA (253 nucleotides) under uncultured bacterium. Its description in RNAcentral is "partial 16S ribosomal RNA". It matches the Rfam family "Bacterial small subunit ribosomal RNA", at positions 524 to 776 of the family's 1533-position model. The record is from RNAcentral.
UACGGGGGGGGCAAGCGUUGUUCGGAAUUACUGGGCGUAAAGGGCUCGUAGGCGGCCAACUAAGUCGGACGUGAAAUCCCCAGGCUCAACCUGGGAACUGCGUCCGAUACUGGAUGGCUUGAGUCCGGGAGAGGGAUGCGGAAUUCCAGGUGUAGCGGUGAAAUGCGUAGAUAUCUGGAGGAACACCGGUGGCGAAGGCGGCAUCCUGGACCGGCACUGACGCUGAUGAGCGAAAGCCAGGGGAGCAAACGGG